This 253-nucleotide ribosomal RNA is filed under the name uncultured bacterium. RNAcentral describes it as "partial 16S ribosomal RNA". It matches the Rfam family "Bacterial small subunit ribosomal RNA", at positions 524 to 776 of the family's 1533-position model. The record is from RNAcentral.
UACGGGGGGGGCAAGCGUUGUUCGGAAUUACUGGGCGUAAAGGGCGCGUAGGCGGCCCUCUUAGUCGGACGUGAAAUCCCCAGGCUUAACUUGGGAACUGCGUCCGAUACUGGAGGGCUUGAGUGCGGGAGAGGGAUGUGGAAUUCCAGGUGUAGCGGUGAAAUGCGUAGAUAUCUGGAGGAACACCGGUGGCGAAGGCGGCAUCCUGGACCGACACUGACGCUGAUGCGCGAAAGCUAGGGGAGCAAACGGG